UAUCAAGAUCAACUCAACGCGAUCUGCAAAAUUUAUUAUAGACAUAUGCAUCGGCAACCACCCUUUUAAAGUUUUUAUGAAUAGAAAGGAAGUGGGGGUUGGAGAUCUCGAAUGUGGUGAUGUUGGAGAGACCAAUGGAUUGUGAAGAUGUUGCAUAUGAGCAUGGAGUAAAUGAAGUGGCUAUGAAAUAAAUUCCAUGCUCAUUAAUGCUUAGAGUGAAAUCCAUGUGGUGUGGUGAAAAUGGUAAGGUGAGUGUGGUAAAAAAGGAAAAGAAAAAGAAAAAGGAUACACGGACGACUUGGUUCGAAACUAGCACAGCUACCGUUCCCCGGCAACGGCGCCAGAAAGCUUGUUGGGUAUUUUAAACGCAAACAGAAAAAUCCGCAAGCGCACGGAUACCGAUGUAGCUUUCACCCGGGAGUAUUCCAGAGUAUCGAUUUUCCACAGAGAACGUGAGUGUACUAAUUAAGAUCCAAGAUCGCCUAAGGAUAACUAUAUAAUUAUUUUUGGUGGGA
Molecule: long non-coding RNA, 515 nt
Filed under: Sorghum bicolor (sorghum)
Lineage: Eukaryota; Viridiplantae; Streptophyta; Magnoliopsida; Poales; Poaceae
Description: long non-coding RNA (SBIC_LNC012008)
Source: RNAcentral